GCGGAAGUGGCGGAAUGGCAGACGCGCUAGGUUGAGGGCCUAGUGGUAGCAAUACUGUGGGGGUUCAAAUCCCCCCUUCCGCA
This 83-nucleotide transfer RNA is filed under the name Candidatus Omnitrophota bacterium. RNAcentral's name for it is "tRNA-Leu". It matches the Rfam family "tRNA". From Rfam's summary of the family: Transfer RNA (tRNA) molecules are approximately 80 nucleotides in length. Their secondary structure includes four short double-helical elements and three loops (D, anti-codon, and T loops). The record is from RNAcentral. Lineage: Bacteria; Pseudomonadati; Candidatus Omnitrophota.